Molecule: ribosomal RNA, 1908 nt
Filed under: Salmonella enterica subsp. diarizonae
Lineage: Bacteria; Pseudomonadati; Pseudomonadota; Gammaproteobacteria; Enterobacterales; Enterobacteriaceae
Also listed under: 1 other name
Description: partial 23S ribosomal RNA
Rfam family: Bacterial large subunit ribosomal RNA
Source: RNAcentral
UGUUUCGGCUAGGGGGCCAUCCCGGCUUACCAACCCGAUGCAAACUGCGAAUACCGGAGAAUGUUAUCACGGGAGACACACGGCGGGUGCUAACGUCCGUCGUGAAGAGGGAAACAACCCAGACCGCCAGCUAAGGUCCCAAAGUCAUGGUUAAGUGGGAAACGAUGUGGGAAGGCCCAGACAGCCAGGAUGUUGGCUUAGAAGCAGCCAUCAUUUAAAGAAAGCGUAAUAGCUCACUGGUCGAGUCGGCCUGCGCGGAAGAUGUAACGGGGCUAAACCAUGCACCGAAGCUGCGGCAGCGACACUGUGUGUUGUUGGGUAGGGGAGCGUUCUGUAAGCCGUUGAAGGUGUCCUGUGAGGGGUGCUGGAGGUAUCAGAAGUGCGAAUGCUGACAUAAGUAACGAUAAAGCGGGUGAAAAGCCCGCUCGCCGGAAGACCAAGGGUUCCUGUCCAACGUUAAUCGGGGCAGGGUGAGUCGACCCCUAAGGCGAGGCCGAAAGGCGUAGUCGAUGGGAAACGGGUUAAUAUUCCCGUACUUGGUGUUACUGCGAAGGGGGGACGGAGAAGGCUAUGUUGGCCGGGCGACGGUUGUCCCGGUUUAAGCGUGUAGGUGUGUGUUCCAGGUAAAUCCGGUUCACUUUAACACUGAGGCGUGAUGACGAGGCACCACGGUGCUGAAGCAACAAAUGCCCUGCUUCCAGGAAAAGCCUCUAAGCAUCAGGUAACAUCAAAUCGUACCCCAAACCGACACAGGUGGUCAGGUAGAGAAUACCAAGGCGCUUGAGAGAACUCGGGUGAAGGAACUAGGCAAAAUGGUGCCGUAACUUCGGGAGAAGGCACGCUGACACGUAGGUGAAGUGAUUUACUCAUGGAGCUGAAGUCAGUCGAAGAUACCAGCUGGCUGCAACUGUUUAUUAAAAACACAGCACUGUGCAAACACGAAAGUGGACGUAUACGGUGUGACGCCUGCCCGGUGCCGGAAGGUUAAUUGAUGGGGUCAGCGCAAGCGAAGCUCCUGAUCGAAGCCCCGGUAAACGGCGGCCGUAACUAUAACGGUCCUAAGGUAGCGAAAUUCCUUGUCGGGUAAGUUCCGACCUGCACGAAUGGCGUAAUGAUGGCCAGGCUGUCUCCACCCGAGACUCAGUGAAAUUGAACUCGCUGUGAAGAUGCAGUGUACCCGCGGCAAGACGGAAAGACCCCGUGAACCUUUACUAUAGCUUGACACUGAACAUUGAGCCUUGAUGUGUAGGAUAGGUGGGAGGCUUUGAAGCGUGGACGCCAGUCUGCGUGGAGCCGACCUUGAAAUACCACCCUUUAAUGUUUGAUGUUCUAACGUGGACCCGUAAUCCGGGUUGCGGACAGUGUCUGGUGGGUAGUUUGACUGGGGCGGUCUCCUCCUAAAGAGUAACGGAGGAGCACGAAGGUUGGCUAAUCCUGGUCGGACAUCAGGAGGUUAGUGCAAUGGCAUAAGCCAGCUUGACUGCGAGCGUGACGGCGCGAGCAGGUGCGAAAGCAGGUCAUAGUGAUCCGGUGGUUCUGAAUGGAAGGGCCAUCGCUCAACGGAUAAAAGGUACUCCGGGGAUAACAGGCUGAUACCGCCCAAGAGUUCAUAUCGACGGCGGUGUUUGGCACCUCGAUGUCGGCUCAUCACAUCCUGGGGCUGAAGUAGGUCCCAAGGGUAUGGCUGUUCGCCAUUUAAAGUGGUACGCGAGCUGGGUUUAGAACGUCGUGAGACAGUUCGGUCCCUAUCUGCCGUGGGCGCUGGAAGACUGAGGGGGGCUGCUCCUAGUACGAGAGGACCGGAGUGGACGCAUCACUGGUGUUCGGGUUGUCAUGCCAAUGGCACUGCCCGGUAGCUAAAUGCGGAAAAGAUAAGUGCUGAAAGCAUCUAAGCACGAAACUUGCCCC